This 484-nucleotide ribosomal RNA is filed under the name uncultured bacterium. RNAcentral's name for it is "partial 16S ribosomal RNA". It matches the Rfam family "Bacterial small subunit ribosomal RNA", at positions 30 to 507 of the family's 1533-position model. The record is from RNAcentral.
AUUGAACGCUGGCGGCAGGCCUAACACAUGCAAGUCGAGCGGAUGAAGGGAGCUUACUCCUGGAUUCAGCGGCGGACGGGUGAGUAAUGCCUAGGAAUCUGCCUGGUAGUGGGGGAUAACGUCCGGAAACGGGCGCUAAUACCGCAUACGUCCUGAGGGAGAAAGUGGGGGAUCUUCGGACCUCACGCUAUCAGAUGAGCCUAGGUCGGAUUAGCUAGUUGGUGGGGUAAAGGCCUACCAAGGCGACGAUCCGUAACUGGUCUGAGAGGAUGAUCAGUCACACUGGAAAUGAGACACGGACCAGAAUCAUACGGGAGGCAGCAGUGGGGAAUAUUGGAAAAUGGGCGAAAGCCUGAUCCAGCCAUGCCGCGUGUGUGAAGAAGGUCUUCGGAUUGUAAAGCACUUUAAGUUGGGAGGAAGGGCAGUAAGUUAAUACCUUGCUGUUUUGACGUUACCAACAGAAUAAGCACCGGCUAACUUCGUG